GCACUAUUGGUCUAAAGGCUAUGAUUUCUGGCUUCCAACCAGACGAUACGAGUUCGAUUCUCGUAUAGUGCU
Molecule: transfer RNA, 72 nt
Filed under: Ruminococcus sp. AM34-9LB
Lineage: Bacteria; Bacillati; Bacillota; Clostridia; Eubacteriales; Oscillospiraceae
Description: tRNA-Gly
Rfam family: tRNA
About the family: Transfer RNA (tRNA) molecules are approximately 80 nucleotides in length.
Source: RNAcentral